GAAGGGAGGAGUCAGACAAGAAAGUACAGCUUGCAUAUACAAGCUUUGGUUUUUGCCAGUAAAUUAAAUGCCAACCUGUACUUGAGCACGAAGCCCACGCUCAAACCUGCCAGCCCAGCUUUAAGCUUCAUGAAGUCCAGAAUUUCUUGAAAGCUAUAUGGGGAAGAGCCAACUGUUGUGUCCUUACGUGCAGUUCAUAUGAUUAACGCUUCCAGAUGUGAUCCAGCAAGAAGAAUCUGCAACCAAGCAUGGUUUCAGAACAUGUCAGCCUCCACUGUCAUAAUUUUGGAUAUACAAAUAUAUUUCCAUAUUAUUUGUUAGUGUGUUCCACAUUGUUGCAUGUAGGAUGCAGUCAACAUAU
Molecule: long non-coding RNA, 361 nt
Filed under: Crocodylus porosus (Australian saltwater crocodile)
Lineage: Eukaryota; Metazoa; Chordata; Crocodylia; Crocodylidae
Description: lncRNA (ENSCPRG00005002814.1)
Source: RNAcentral